This is an RNA transcript of Myxocyprinus asiaticus (Chinese sucker), 5338 nucleotides long. It is a transcript of the gene named coiled-coil domain-containing protein 34-like, with no coding region annotated. The transcript has 8 exons. NCBI's taxonomy places the organism in Eukaryota, Metazoa, Chordata, Actinopteri, Cypriniformes, Catostomidae. The record is from RefSeq and is a predicted model, not a curated record.
GUCAAAGGAGGCGGGGCCACGCGGAGGAAGCUGCACACCAAGCAAAACAAAAGCGAUUAAACGAAAAUUUUGCUAUUAAAGUGAGCAGACGUUUUGAGGAAGAUGUCGGCCUUUCCAUCCUCGUCGUCCAAGAGUCUCACCUCCACCCCGCUCAAAUCCAAACCCAGUGCUCUAGGAAGUGCCCUACAGCGCAGCAGAAGUGUGGAGUCCACCGGGGACUCGACCUCCUCUCUGCUGUCACCCAUCUACCACGACAGCUUUGAGCAUUCAGAGGAGGAACCAGAAAUAGAUGAGGAUCAACCUGUUCACAACAUCACCGUCACGUUAAGUGAAGAUGUCGCAGCGGUCUCUCUCUCCAGGGAUGAGGUGGAAACAACAGGCCUGGAAGACAGAUCUUCUUCUGCACAGUUCAAACUGAGCGCGUGGGAACAGUGGAUCGUAGAUAAAGCAAAAGAGGAGCGGAUCAGAAAGCAACAGAAAGCUGUGGAGGAGCUGACCAUGAAGGAAAAACAGGAUAAACAGGAGAGAGAACAACAGAAGAAGAAAGUUGCCAGUGACUGCAAAAUUCAAGAAUGGCUGCAAAUAAAACGAGAGCAGGAAAAGAAAGAAAGAGUAUCCAAAGAAUUUCAGAAAAGCAAAGAACAACUUCAAGAGGAGAAAAUACGUGCCGAGAUUGAAAAAAAAGCCCAGGAGAAAUAUAAGGAGUGGCUUCGAAAGAAAAAACAAGAGGAGGUGGAGAGAAAGCUAAAAGAGCAGGAGGCGGCCAGAAGAGAAGUAGAAGAGAGGGAACGUAAAGAAAAGGCAGAGGAGAGCUUUAAAGAAUGGCUUGAAGGUGUAAAAACUAAAGGAAAACUGUGGCGACCGUCGUCAGCAUGCUCAGCUGGCAGCUAUAACAAUGUGAACUAUCCCACUCCGAGCUUCGUCAACCCCAUUCCGUGGAAGCCCAUUCACAUUCCGCAGCAAGACCGAACGCCCAAGAAAAAUGUGUUGCAUAAGAGAACGCCAGGACCACCAAAAAGCCAGUCGACCCCCUGCCUCAGCUACAAACCUAAAGACACCAUCAGUUUCACUUGCAAAAGACGGUGACACUGACAUCUACUGGUUUGAGUCCAGUAUGAACGUUUUAAAUGUAGCAUUUUUAUGAAAGGAGCAUUUCAUCCAUUUUUGAGAAUAGAUGAUGAUGUUGGUAUCUAUGACACAGCACAAAACCAUACAUUGAAAAGUGACUUUUAUUAUGAAUUCAAAAUCUUUUCUUUGGUUACUGAUAUUUGGUUGAAUGUGUAAAAUGUAUUUUUGAAUUUGAUGAAAUACAGACCAUUUUCUUCAUCCAAAUUUGGACAUAAUUUGCAAAACACAAGUGUCUGACUGAAAAGCAUGCCCAGUGUUAUUUUAAUUAACAGAAUAAUGUUGUUUUUAGCGCUAGGGAUGUCCCGGAUUGGAAUUGGGUCCGAUACCAAGCUCAUGUACUCGUGCUCAUAAAAAUGCUCUGAUACUAAAAAUGGAUAUCAUCUGAUGUAUGAAUGUCAUUACUUUUUUUUUUUUAACAGCCUUUUGGCUUUUUACUGGGAAAGUAGAGAGGUGACAGGAAAUGAGAGGGAGAAGAGUGGGAAUGGGAUCGGGAAAGGACCUCACAAGCCGGGUCACCUGCGAUACAUCAGCACCACAUGUCAUGAGCGCAGCCCACUAGGCUAUGGCUCUGACAUGAAUGUCAUUACUUAAACAUUCAGCACACAAAUUAAAAUCACAUUAUGUGCUAGUGUGAUUAUUAAACCGCAAAGGCUGUGAUCUAAUGAGAUAAAUCUUUAGUUUGCAAGUUCUGCACGCUUCAAAUGUGAGCACUUGUGAAUGUGUGUUGCCGGUGUUGUGCUGACAUAAAGACACAAAGUGUUUUGUAGCAGAUGACCGUGAGCAGAGUGCUAAUUUACUUUGAAGCACGCAGCGCAUACAGACUGCAUAUUUAUUUAAUUAAAUAGCUACCUUUUGCGGUUUAAUAAUCACUUUGGGUCAUGUAGCGACCGGCUUUUUCGGAAGGGAGAAGCUACCGUCAAAACACACAGAAACAGAAAGGGCUUCAAAAUAAAAGCUUCCGCCAAAAUAAAAACCUCAGUUAAAAUGGAAAAAAGGUACAACAGAAAUAUACAGUGCAUUCAGAAAGUAUUCAGACCCCUUAAUUUUUCACAUUUUGUUAUGUUGCAGCCUUAUGCUAAAAUGCUAAAAAAAAUAAAAUAAAAAAAAAAUUCACAUCAAUCUACACUCCAUAACCCAUAAUGACAAAGCAAAAACCAGAUUUUUGAUAACUUUGCAAAUUUAUUAAAAAGAAAAAACUGAAAUAUCACAUUGACAUAAAUAUUCAGACCCUUUUUGAGUCCACCGGUGGCAAAUUCAAUUGAUUGGACAUGAUUUGGAAAGGCACACGCCUGUCUAUAUAAGGUCUCAUAGCUGAAAAUGCAUAUCAGAGCAAAAACCAAACUGUGAGGUCAAAGAAACUGCCUGCAGAGCUCAGAGACAGGAUUGUGUCAAGGCACAGAUCUGGGGAAGGCUACAAAAAAAAAAAUGUCAGCAGCAUUGAAGGUUCCCAAGAGCACAGUGACCUCCAUAAUUCUUAAAUGGAAGAAGUUUGGAACAACCAGGACUCUUCCUAGAGCUGGCCGCCCGGCCAAACUGAGCAAUCGGGGGAGAAGGGCCUUGGUAAGAGAGGUGACCAAGAACCCGAUGGUCACUCUGGUUGAUCUCCAGAGAUCAUGUGUGGAGACGGGAGAAACUUGCAGAAGGACAACAAUCACUGCAACACUCCAUCGAUCUGGGCUUUAUGGCAGAGUGGCCAGACGGAAGCCUCUCCUCAGUGCAAGACACAUUAAAAACACCUAAAGGACUCUCAGACUGUGAGAAACAAGAUUCUCUGGUCUGAUGAAACGAAGAUUGAACUGUUUGGCCUCAAUUCCAAGCAUCAUGUCUGGAGGAAACCAGGCACUGCUCAUCACCUGCGCAAUACCAUCCCAACGGUGAAGCAUGGUGGUGGCAGCGUCAUGCUGUGGGGGUGUUUUUCAGCGGCAGGGACUGGGGGACUGGUCAGGGUUGUAGGAAAGCUGAAUGCAGCCAAAUACAGAGAUAUCCUUAAUGAAAACCUGGUCCAGAGCGCUCAGGACCUCAGACUGGGACGAAGGUUCACCUUCCAACAGGACAAUGACCCUAAGCACACAGCCAAGACAACACAAGAGUGGCUUAGGGACAACUCUGUGAAUGUCCAUGAGUGGCCCAGCCAGAGCCCAGACUUGAACCCAAUCGAACAUCAGAGACCUGAAAAUGUCUGUUCACCGACGGUCCCCAUCCAACCUGACAGAGCUUGAGAGGAUCUGCAGAGAAGAGUAGCAGAAAAUCCCCAAAUCCAGGAGUGCAAAGCUUGUCGCAUCAUACCCAAAAAGACUUGUGGCUGUAAUCGCUGCCAAAGGUGCUUUUUUGAAAGUUAUCAAAAAAAACAAAACAAGUAUCAGUGAGUACCGAAAGGAAGUAUCAGUACUCUUACCCGUUCUCAAAAAAAUGGUAUCUGUAUAUCCCUACUUAGCGCGAAACAACGCAAGUUCUCGUGUGAACAUGCAAGCCCCUGUGAACGAGCGCUCGUGAUUGCGCAACUCUUUCUGAUUGCAGAAAAGAGGUGUGGAUGUGUACGAAAAAAUAUAAAAUAUAGAAAAAAUCUUAACAGAAUAGAUUAAUUUAUUAAAAAAAUGUAACAGGUUCAAUACAAGUUAAGCCUAAUAAACAUAAUUUGUGGCAUAAAGGUGAUUUCCACAAAAUUAAUUUAGAUUUAUUUAAAAAACAAAAAACACAAAUCUGUGUUCCAGUGAGGCUCUUACAGUGGAAGUCAAUGGGGCCAAUCUGGAAAGGUUUAAAUACUCACUGUUUCAAAAGUAUAGACACAAGAUGUAAACAAUAUGUGUGUUAACAUGAUUUUAGUGUGAUAAAAUCACUUACUAACAUUUUCUGUUUUAAGUUAUAUCCAAUAUAACAACUCUGAUGUCAUGAUGACGUAAUGCUUAAACCCUUUUAUUCUGGUAUCGGAUAUAAUUUUACGCAGAAAAGGUUAGUAUCAGAUUUCAUCACACUUAAAUCAUGUUAACACACAUAUUGUUUACGUCUUGUGGCUAUACGUCUGAAACAAUGUGUUUUAUAGCAUUUAUGGACUGGCCCCAUUGACUUCCAUUAUAAGUGUCUUAUUGUAACUGCGAUAUUUAUUUUUAUUUUUUUUUUUAACUAAAUGAGGGAUGUUUACAUUUUAAUUUUUUUUGUGAUGAUCAACAUUAUACCACAAAUGCUGUCGACUGAGCUUAACUUGUAUUGAACCUGGAAUAUUCCUUUAAUUAAAAAUAAUAAUAAUUAAAUCACUUUUCCAGUUGAAAGACAUUUAAAAUGAUUUAAUUAAUGAAUAAAAUGUUGUUAAAGGUAAGAACAUAUAAUAAAGUUCAUCAUUUUUAAAGCCAUUUGCGAAUUGCUUCUUAUUUAAUUUGCCAGUUAUGUAUAAAAACAAAGUGCCAUUGGGCUGUUGCAGUUGUGGUGUGGCGGCGUGUAAAAAUCCAGUUACACGUUUACAUUUUGUGGAUGUGUAUGAUUCAAAACAAGCCAUUUUUGUACUCACCACGGUGUAGUAGUUUAACAAAAGAAGUUUUCUGAGUGAACAGAAGUUAUUAACUGGCUUAUCUGCAUUCGCCGACUUGUGGAGUCAACUUGUGACCAGACACGAUGACCUCUGACCCCUAGACUGGGCUAAAAGCCAAAUGUACCCCUCUAACAGACGUGUGUAUUGUCUUCAGCGCAGUUGUGCCUUGUAGUCCUUUCAAAUGAAUGACGUGAAUGUGUGUGUGUAUGAGUGUGUGUGGGUGGGUGCUUAUAUGUUCAAUACAUUGUGUACACAAACACAAUACUGUAGAUACUGACCCCAGACACUCCUUCAAACUCUUAUAAACACACUUUGUGGAUCAGAGAUACUGUAAGUUCUUUCUUUCUGUCUGUCUGUAGAUAUGCAAGCUAAGAGUUUGUAAAGGUUUCAAAUUGUAGUAUACACUGUGUAUCAAAAACUCAUUCAUUUGUGGUCAUUUUUGCUUUGUUAGUUUUGGAGGAAAUCAUAGUUUCUAAUUAUGUUUUUAUUUCAGUUAAUAACACUGAUCUGGAUUCAGUUUAUUUGUUGCAUUUCUUCCCGAUACAUCAGGCGAUUCUCCAGUCUGAUCUGGGAUUGAACGUUACAGAGCAUUACGCCUGAAUCGCAAUAUUUGCAAACUAACUGCAGUUCCCAGAGAUGCGGUGGUGCAGGUGGGCAGGCAACUGGACGUCGCAGCUUCAGACGCAG